GUGUCAAUCCAUCUCAUGAUGUAGAUUCUUCUUCACUGAUCCCAUACUUUAUCAUGGAGGAUAUCUUUCUCAAGGGACUGGUAUCAUGAUAACUUU
Molecule: microRNA precursor, 96 nt
Filed under: Echinops telfairi (small Madagascar hedgehog)
Lineage: Eukaryota; Metazoa; Chordata; Mammalia; Afrosoricida; Tenrecidae
Description: miRNA (ENSETEG00000023689.1)
Source: RNAcentral